RNAcentral lists this long non-coding RNA (641 nucleotides) under Parus major (Great Tit). Its description in RNAcentral is "lncRNA (ENSPMJG00000016779.1)". Lineage: Eukaryota; Metazoa; Chordata; Aves; Passeriformes; Paridae. The record is from RNAcentral.
GGGAAACAUCUUGAGAGGUGUCAUAAUCUGCAUCCAUCAUAUUAUCCUGGCUUAGCCCCAACCUUCUUGCUUCUUCUGGAAGUGUGAAUAUAACCUUCAUGGAAAUGACUACCCCAAAAAUCAACUGGAAUAUGUGUGUUUGUGAGCCAAGGCAUUCCACACAGUCUGAAAAUCUCAGGUGCCUUCAAUGACAUGAGCAUAAAGCCAGGAGAGAAGGCAGGAAAUGCCAUGCACCCCUGGAGUGUUCCACAGUGAUCAGCUCCAGAAAUUUCCAUUGCAGAGACCUCAGUGCUUGUGCCCACUGGAAGAUGACCUGGUGGGAGAGCAAACAGCCUGAGGAAGAGUACCAAAUGCCAGAAUUUUGCACUUGGAAGAGAAGAUAAAAAACCCCAUGGGAAGUAGUAAAGGAAGGAGCUAGAGUUAGGGGAAAGUUAGUUUUGCCUGAAGAUUUGGAAGAGUAGUCCCAGAAGCAGAUAGAGCCUUGGCCAAUCCAGAGGUUCUGGUAUCAAAUCAAAAGAGAAUGCCUCCUAUCACGUGCUAGGGACAGCCCACACUCCUUGGGGACAAUUUGGUGCCAUCUGAUAGCAGAACUAAAGAAGAUGUGCUGUUCCUACCCUGGGAAUGUCUCCUGCACAUGAAUA